AGCGGCGGACGGGCGAGUAACGCGUGAGAAUCUGGCUUCAGGAGGGGGACAACAGUUGGAAACGACUGCUAAUACCCCAUAUGUCUACGGAUGAAACGGUGAAUUCCGCCUGAAGAUGAGCUCGCGUCGGAUUAGCUAGUUGGUGAGGUAAAGGCUCACCAAGGCGACGAUCCGUAGCUGGUCUGAGAGGAUGAUCAGCCACACUGGGACUGAGACACGGCCCAGACUCCUACGGGAGGCAGCAGUGGGGAAUUUUCCGCAAUGGGCGAAAGCCUGACGGGGCAACGCCGCGUGCGGGAAGACGGCCUGUGGGUUGUAAACCGCUUUUCUCUGGGAAGAAUAAGUUGACGGUACCAGAGGAAUCAGCAUCGGCUAACUCCGUGCCAGCAGCCGCGGUAAUACGGAGGAUGCAAGCGUUAUCCGGAAUUAUUGGGCGUAAAGCGUCCGCAGGCGGCUUAUCAAGUCUGCUGUUAAAGGUCGGGGCUCAACUCCGGUUAGGCAGUGGAAACUGAUAGGCUAGAGUGUGGUAGGGGUAGAGGGAAUUCCCAGUGUAGCGGUGAAAUGCGUAGAUAUUGGGAAGAACACCAGUGGCGAAGGCGCUCUACUGGGCCACAACUGACGCUGAGGGACGAAAGCUAGGGGAGCGAAAGGGAUUAGAUACCCCUGUAGUCCUAGCYGUAAACGAUGGACACUAGGUGUUG
This 701-nucleotide ribosomal RNA is filed under the name uncultured Oscillatoriales cyanobacterium. RNAcentral's name for it is "bacterial SSU rRNA". It matches the Rfam family "Bacterial small subunit ribosomal RNA", at positions 94 to 825 of the family's 1533-position model. Lineage: Bacteria; Bacillati; Cyanobacteriota; Cyanophyceae; Oscillatoriales. The record is from RNAcentral.